GCCAUCUUUUUGAUAGUAAAAAUAUUUUUCUUUAUUUGUAGCCUUCUGUGAAGUAUCCUUCUUCGGCUUCUUCUCCUUCACAAGCUUAUUCUUCUUCUUCCUAUUCUAUUAGGGUGAUUUCAGAAUGCAGAUUUUUCAUCUCAUGAACAUAUGCAGUAGAAAGGUAAGAUUAAAAUAAUUUUAAUCCUAGGCAUGCUUGGAUCUAAUCCUAAAUCACCUAAGGAUCUCUUAACAUGCUUGAAAUAAAUUUAUACAUCAGAUCUAAAAUCAAAAAUCAGAAAGAAAGAAUGAUUACCUUAAUCGCUUUCCUUUGAUCUG
Molecule: long non-coding RNA, 318 nt
Filed under: Elaeis guineensis (African oil palm)
Lineage: Eukaryota; Viridiplantae; Streptophyta; Magnoliopsida; Arecales; Arecaceae
Description: long non-coding RNA (EGUI_LNC039996)
Source: RNAcentral